RNAcentral lists this ribosomal RNA (498 nucleotides) under uncultured bacterium. Its description in RNAcentral is "bacterial SSU rRNA". It matches the Rfam family "Bacterial small subunit ribosomal RNA", at positions 24 to 518 of the family's 1533-position model. The record is from RNAcentral.
UCAGGACGAACGCUGGCGGUAUGCUUAACACAUGCAAGUCGAACGAGACGAGAUGGAAGGAUCCUCGGGUGACGGAAAGUCUUAGAAAGUGGCGAACGGGUGAGUAACGCGUGGGUAACCUGCCCUAUGGAAAGGAAUAGCCUCGGGAAACUGGGAGUAAUGCCUUAUAAUACAUUGAAGUCGCAUGGCUUUGAUGUUAAACGCUCCGGUGCCAUAGGAUGGACCCGCGUCCCAUUAGCUAGUUGGUGAGAUAACAGCCCACCAAGGCGACGAUGGGUAACCGGUCUGAGAGGGCGAACGGUCACACUGGAACUGAGACACGGUCCAGACUCCUACGGGAGGCAGCAGUGGGGAAUAUUGCGACCAAUGGGGGAAACCCUGACGCAGCAAUACCGCGUGAGUGAAGAAGGUUUUCGGUAUCGUAAAGCUCUGUUAUUGGGGAAGAAAAAAGACGGUACCCAAGAAGAAAGUCCCGGCUAACUACGUGCCAGCCGCCGC